This 450-nucleotide ribosomal RNA is filed under the name uncultured prokaryote. RNAcentral describes it as "bacterial SSU rRNA". It matches the Rfam family "Bacterial small subunit ribosomal RNA", at positions 355 to 796 of the family's 1533-position model. The record is from RNAcentral.
UGGGGAAUAUUGCGCAAUGGGGGAAACCCUGACGCAGCAACGCCGCGUGAGUGAGGAAGGCCUUCGGGUUGUAAAGCUCUGUCAGAAGGGAAGAACGGUAUUUGGUCUAAUAGGCCUUGUAUUUGACGGUACCUUCAAAGGAAGCACCGGCUAACUUCGUGCCAGCAGCCGCGGUAAUACGAAGGGUGCAAGCGUUAUUCGGAUUUACUGGGCGUAAAGCGCGCGCAGGCGGAUGGAUAAGUCAGAUGUGAAAUCUCGGGGCUCAACCCCGAAACUGCGUCUGAAACUGUUCAUCUAGAGUCUUGGAGGGGGAAGUGGAAUUUCGCAUGUAGGGGUAAAAUCCGUAGAGAUGCGAAGGAACACCAGAGGCGAAGGCGACUUCCUGGCCAAGUACUGACGCUGAGGCGCGAAAGCGUGGGGAGCAAACAGGAUUAGAUACCCCUGUAGUCC